RNAcentral lists this unclassified non-coding RNA (467 nucleotides) under Hevea brasiliensis (rubber tree). Lineage: Eukaryota; Viridiplantae; Streptophyta; Magnoliopsida; Malpighiales; Euphorbiaceae. The record is from RNAcentral.
GUGGGUGAGACAGCAACCACCCCUGGUUUCGAAAUUCCUAGUGCCAGUUUGGGCCACCCAGUCUCCCACUUGAUCGGUCUUGGUUUGUCUACUGGUAAGANNNNNNNNNNUCCUAUAGACAAAAUCCUUGGCCUACUUCAAUUGACUUCUGCAAUUGUUGCCAGAAUCUCCCAUUUCAUGUCUUCACUUCCCCCUUUUAUACGCUCUAUUAAUGGGAAAGACUACGAUUCGUUCAAAGUUUAAUUAACUUCACUAGCAGCUGCGUCUGCUGCUUCCAUCAAGAUCAAUCAUUUCUUGGAAUAAUCUCGAUUUUUGUUAUUUAUAUUCUCAUCAUGUCAUUGAAGACGGUAAUAGCAUUCUAGGAAUCAGAUGGGCAGAAGAGAGUUCUUGGUGAAAUCUGGAUUUUUGUGUUUCUUCUUAUUCAAUUUGUUCUCACUUGCGUAUUGUUCUGUAAUUUAUAACAUAAC